UACGUAGGUGGCAAGCGUUGUCCGGAAUUACUGGGCGUAAAGAGUGUGUAGGCGGUGUUCUAAGUCUGUUGUGAAAUCUCCCGGCUUAACUGGGAGGGUGCGGCGGAGACUGGAAUGCUAGAGUGUGGGAGAGGUAAGCGGAAUUCCUGGUGUAGCGGUGAAAUGCGUAGAUAUCAGGAGGAACACCAAUGGCGAAGGCAGCUCGCUGGAACGGUACUGACGCUGAGGCGCGAAAGCGUGGGGAGCAAACAGG
This 253-nucleotide ribosomal RNA is filed under the name uncultured bacterium. RNAcentral's name for it is "partial 16S ribosomal RNA". It matches the Rfam family "Bacterial small subunit ribosomal RNA", at positions 524 to 776 of the family's 1533-position model. The record is from RNAcentral.